This is a long non-coding RNA of Quercus lobata, 532 nucleotides long. RefSeq lists it as uncharacterized. The record is from RefSeq and is a predicted model, not a curated record. The transcript has 3 exons. NCBI's taxonomy places the organism in Eukaryota, Viridiplantae, Streptophyta, Magnoliopsida, Fagales, Fagaceae.
AUUUUUCUCUCUAAUGGAUUGGUCUUGUGCUGGAAUUUGUUUGUUACAAGUUGAUUUUAAAAAAUUACUUGUGUGAGUUGUAUCUAGUGGUGCAGAUGUUUUGCUUAUGUGGGAUUUUGUAAAUAUCAAUCAGUAUGAGUUGUAUAGAUAUGAAAACUAAGGAACGACAUUGGGAGAGUUACUAGAACCACAUAGAUACAUUAAAAUAUAGGACUGGUUUACUUGUUUAGAUAUAAAAUUAUAUUAUAUAUUAGGUAUAUAUGCUCACAUAUUUAUUUGGUUUUGGCAAUUGGCAUUAAGAGUGCAGGAUCAUUGUCACCAGGUAUGUGGAGGAGUGGGAGAAGAUUGUGUGGAGGAUGGGACAGUGAAUUGACUACAAGGAUGAGUAUAGGCCCAUGGACUUGAUCUUCAUGGAGAGUGUGUGGUGGGUCUUUGCGAAGCCUUUGAGAAAGUGCCUUGUUUAUAAGGAUUUCAAGUGAUCCAGAGGACAGAUUCACACCUAGACCUGUACUACCAAGGUUUGCAUCUAGCU